Molecule: long non-coding RNA, 465 nt
Organism: Ipomoea nil (Japanese morning glory)
Lineage: Eukaryota; Viridiplantae; Streptophyta; Magnoliopsida; Solanales; Convolvulaceae
Exons: 2
Source: RefSeq, a predicted model, not a curated record
CCAACUUACCAAAAGCCGUCAUCCCAUAAUAGUCUCAUAGAGGUAUUCUCACCCCAUAAAACCGAAUUCAACUUGAUUUACAUUUAAACCAAAUUCAACCUAAGUUGUUUUAAUUCUUACUUUUAGGGAAAAAAAAAAAAAAACACUUGGUUCAGAACUCGUAUAUCAUGUGUUCUAUACUUUAAAACACAAAACGAACAAAAUUAAUUGACCAAUUUCUUUUGAAAAUUAAAGUGGCUCAUGGGUUUGAUCGCCAAGAGUUCCUCCCCCUAAUGCACUACCCACACACUGUAAAAUUGGUUGAAAAGACAAAUUACAUGAUUUAUUACAGAGAAAAUUGUAGUAAAUAAAAGCUAAGAGGAAUUAAAGGUUUGUAAAACUGACUGAAAAAAAAAAAAAAAAAAAAAAAAAAAUCACAACAGAUAUAAUAUAAACCAGCAAUACAAUCCGGGGGGAAAAAGAAAA